GGGUCAGUAGGUUGGUCGUGCCACCGGUACGUACUGGUCUCACUGAUUCCUCCUUCCUGAAGAACCGUAAUGCCAUUAAUUUGGUGUUGCGGGGAAACAGGACUGUUACUUUGAAAAAAUUAGAGUGUUUAAAGCCAGCUAACGCUUGAAUACAUUAGCAUGGAAUAAUGAAAUAGGACGAUCGAUCCUAUUUUGUUGGUUUCUAGGAUUGACGUA
Molecule: ribosomal RNA, 216 nt
Filed under: Glomeromycotina sp.
Lineage: Eukaryota; Fungi; Glomeromycota
Description: partial small subunit ribosomal RNA
Rfam family: Eukaryotic small subunit ribosomal RNA (bases 40-216)
Source: RNAcentral